CACGCCCUAAACGAUGUCUACUAGUUGUUGGUGGAGUAAAAUCCAUGAGUAACGCAGCUAACGCGUGAAGUAGACCGCCUGGGGAGUACGGUCGCAAGAUUAAAACUCAAAUGAAUUGACGGGGGCCCGCACAAGCGGUGGAUUAUGUGGAUUAAUUCGAUGCAACGCGAAAAACCUUACCUGGCCUUGACAUGUACCGAAUUUACCAGAGAUGGUUUAGUGCUCGAAAGAGAACGGUAACACAGGUGC
This 249-nucleotide ribosomal RNA is filed under the name uncultured Methylophilaceae bacterium. RNAcentral's name for it is "partial 16S ribosomal RNA". It matches the Rfam family "Bacterial small subunit ribosomal RNA", at positions 796 to 1041 of the family's 1533-position model. The record is from RNAcentral. Lineage: Bacteria; Pseudomonadati; Pseudomonadota; Betaproteobacteria; Nitrosomonadales; Methylophilaceae.